Long non-coding RNA from Passer domesticus (house sparrow), 5475 nucleotides. RefSeq lists it as uncharacterized. NCBI's taxonomy places the organism in Eukaryota, Metazoa, Chordata, Aves, Passeriformes, Passeridae. The record is from RefSeq and is a predicted model, not a curated record. The transcript has 3 exons.
UCUUGAGAGCAUCCCCCAGAACCUCUGCAGAGGCCCUGGAGGAGAUUUCAACACUGCAGCAGCCUCAGACCGGCUCCAUCCGAGCCCUCCCAGCUCUCCAGCACUGCUGAGCCUCCCUGGCUUGUCCUCCAGGAAAAUCCCAGCACUUUUAAUAGGCCACGAGGCAUCUCCAAUAAUUCCAGCAGAUGCUGCCAGUUAAUAACUUUUGGCCCCUGUUUCAGCUGGAGGAUGUUCCCAGGACCAGCUGCUCUCAGCAUCACCUGGAUCAGAGAAUAUCCUGAGGUGGAAGGGACCCACAAAGAUCAUGGAGUCCAACUCCUGAGCCUGCACAGGACCACCCCAAGAGUGUGUGUGACAGAGCAGGAUGGGGUGUGUGAUUGAUCCCAGCAGGGUAAAACACCCAAGCACAGCCAAUGCACGAGGAAGAAUCCAUUUCCCAGCCAUCAUUUACAGCAAUCCUUAAGGAAAGCAGGCUCAAGUCGAGGUGCAUGGACAGGCUCCAGCAGGGUGGGAAGCUCGGAGCCAGCAGGGAGGGCUCUUUGAUCCCCGAGCCAUCGCACAGCAGGGCUUUGAAAGGCGCUCGGCACAAACAGCGUGCCAGGAAAACUCCUUCUCCCGGCAAGCUCCGAUAGGGAUCGCCGAGAAUAAAGUCACUUCAUUUACAAACCGGGGAGCCAAAUCUGAUAGACAUCAACAUUCGAGGGGGAAAAGGAAGGAAUGGAAGAGAUGGAAUUCUUUGUGAAGCUGAGCUGCUUUAAGGAGGGGAGGCUGGGACGCGAUUUUGGGGGUGGGAGGGUGGGUAUCCACGUCCCCCUGCAGCCAAGAUGCAUUUCCACCCCUUCCCACUGCAAAAUGAGCCCCCCCCCUCCCGGGGUAAAGCAGGAGCCACCAGGCACCACCAAAUCGCUUUUUCCAAUGUAACAAAAAAAAUUCCCCAUUUUCUCUGCUGCCAGGGGGAAACCUAAAGGUCUGGGAACCAGAGGAGCAGCCCCAGGAGCACCUUCUCCACACCCUAUAACCAACAAGUACCACAGAGCAGCAAAAUCCCAUUAUUUAGCCACUUUGGAGAGGCAAAGAUGCUUUUAAUAUACAAUUGCACCUUGGAAACAUAAAGGCAGCACAUUAAAUAACAAAGCAAUUGACUGCUGGGUCCCUUUGCUGGGUCACAAAAAAACGGGGCUCACUGGCUAAUUAUUGCCGGGCAUCUCUGCGCCUCUCCAAACAUACCAAUGCUUUCAGAAACCCACCCCAGCUGUGCCUGACAUUUCACUCCUAUUAAAAUUCAUCAUUCUCCUGAAUGGAAAUAAUUUUUUUCUUUCGCAAACCCAGGUAGUAAUGAAAGUUUUAUUUAGUAAUGUAGUGUUUAGUGGAAAAGGGGGCAGAGCAAAGGGAAGAGAAAUUGAGAUUAUCUUUUUAAAAGGGGAACUUGAGGUGGGGGAAAAGAUAUUGCUGGAUAUUUCUAGGGCGCAGGGGGCCACUUUUGGUGCCAUGCUUGGAGGUUUGGUCUCACAGCUCUCGUUAGUGGGAUGAGAACAGCAAAACACCUGGGAAAAAAGCUGUAAGAGAAGCACAGCUGAUGGAGGGAUGCUGGGCCGGGCGGGUUUAGGGGGUGGCAGUGAUUUCCCCCAGCAGCUGCAGCCCUUUUCUUCACUGGGCAAAAAUGAUCCAGGGACAGCUAAGGAAGAUUCGGGCCAAGGAUGGAUCUCGAGAGACACGAGGGACAGGGCAUGAGCAGCUGGAGGAGGACUGGGGGGAGCACAGCUCAUCCCCAGGUACUCAGCCACCCCCUCACCCUUCAUCCCACCUCCUCCUCCUCCUCCCCUGGAGGCGGGCAGGGCUUUGAUCUCGGCCAGCAAUGAAAAGGCCACGUUUGUGCGGUGAGAAGGCAUUCCAGGAGGGAAGGAGCUGUGGAGCAGCGUGGCUGGGAUGCAGGCACCAUGCCACCCCUUUCCACACUGCCGGGGAAUUGCAAAUACCCCAAAUAACCAAGGAUGGGUGGCUCUGCAAACGCAGCUGCUGUGCCCGUGUGAUACCACGGAACAAAGGUAGGAAUGGGGAAGGAUGGAGGCAAUUCUGGGAGUGGCCCAAAGUCAUCCCUGUAUCCUGCAAGCCCCCCCGGGGCACCAGCCCCAUUUCCAGGCCCUCUGCAAAAGGAGUCACAUCUCACCCCCUUCUCCCUGGGGCCUCCCAGAGCCCCAUCCCCAUCCAGGCACCAUCAGGGACAUGCCAUGGCACUGCCACCCAGGCACUAACCCCAGCCUGAGUGCCUGACCACGGCAGCCUCUGGCUGGCUCCCAAAUAUUCAGGCCGUGGAAUCUGAAGAGUUCAGCCAAAGCACGGAGGGGAAAAAUAAGUAAACCAAGCAAUAUGUGCACGUUCCACAGCUGCCUGCCCAUGGAAGCCCCACAAGGAUGCGACGUGAGGUUCACCUGGCUCCUCAGACAACACUUGCCACGGGCUGCACCUCCCGCUGUCAGUCCUGCUUGGCACUAAUUACCAUUGAUAAUUGCACUGAUGGUGACCAUAAUUUUCCUGCCCUCUCUCCCUACCUUCACACAAGGGUUCAAUGGCCUAAUGAGGCCCCUGAGGAUAAUCAGAGAGGAGCAGGUUCCCCCACCACGAUGGCAGCUCCUGCACAACGUGAGGGGAUGGGAGAGCAGAGAAGGGAAAGGCACAGCCCAGCUGCUGGAUGGGGAAAGCUCCAAGUCUUGUUUACUUGGGGACACAGAGAAAAGUUCACUCCAAUUAAUUUUUUUAAGUGGACGGGCGUUAAUCCCCCUACACUUAUCUAGAAUUAACGCAGCCUUAAGGAGAUUUUUGCCUAAUCCACUUCCACAUGCGCCCCAAAAGGGCACUGCCUGUUUUGGGAAGGAGCAGAGUUCAGCUAAUCCACUUAAAAUUCACAGGGCUGGUUUGUUCAGAUUAACCUCCUCCAGCAUUAAUCCUCCAGAGGCAGGCCAGGAGACCUCAACACCAUCCUGCCUCUGCCACUGACGGGGCUGUGUCACCUGCAAUGCAGCUGGGGUCCACAAGGACACAGAGAUAUCCCCAAAACAGCCACCACAGCACAGCAAGGCAGCAGGGUGGGACAACCAGGGGCUUUGGGGCUGUUUAAAUCCCAAUGGCCAGAGGAAGGAGAGCAGAAGCAGCAGCAAUGCUCAGACACAGACAGGGAGAAGGGAGGCAGCUGUGCCCAGGCUGGAGGGGUGCUCACAGUGCUGGUGGAGGACAGCCAGCCAAAAGUGACAGCCAUGGGACACCAGCCAAGUGCCAGCAGCUCUGACAACCCCCAAAAAGGCACAGGUGAAGGGCACCAUGGUCACCAAGACAGGGGCUCUUCCCUCCCCAGCACGGAUCUGCUGCUCUGACAGGAACCGACACCGCACUGACGGCCACGGAUGCUCACGGUUCCCACCUCACAUCUCUUCCUGCCAGCAAAGCAGAGGAGGUCCUCUCCUGACUGGAGCAGCUCCCCUUUCCAUGUCAAACUCUGGGAAGGCACACAGCCCAUCAGGGCCCAGUGGUGGAGAAGAGCCAGCAGAUCUCCCCUGAGACACAGAGCCAAACCCUGAGGACAUCAAAAAUGGGAGAGCACAACCCAACAGCAGCUCUCACACCUCCUGGACAGGCUUUGGAGGAGACUGAGCUCAGCUGGGAGAGGCAGAGCCACUCCCCCAUGGCAGGAGGGUUGAUGAUCCAAGAUGAUCCCAAAGGACCCCUCCAACACCCCCAAAAUUGGAAAAAUAUAAGCCAAAACAGGAGCAGCAAAGAAAUCACUGAUGGCAUGAAACAUCUUGCCACAGGAGUCCUGUCAGUGUGGAUUUGGCUUCUCCCCCAUCAUCACUCAAGAAGUUCUGGCACUUCUAAAAUUCUGAGGAGACUCACUGGGAAUAAUCCAAGUACUGGAUCACCAUCCACCCUGGCAGGAUCCUUCACAGAAGAGGCACCACAGCAGACAACAAACUAAACACUAAAUCCCCCUGGAGCUCCUCAGGCAGCAGGGACAUUGGGGCAGUGGGAUGAGCAGCACCUGGAUGGGUGUUGGAGCUGGAUGUGACUCCCUGGGCCCCACCCUUUCCACCAGCAGUUCAAGGAGGACGGGUGGCCUUGGAGCUACAGAACAUUUCUGGGUCUGUAAAUCCAUUCCUCGUCUCAGAAGCUGAUUGAUUCUUUUUUUUUUUUUUAAACUCAGAUUCAAUGUUUAAGAGUAAUGAUUUCCAAGUGAACACAGAGUGUCUCAGAUAUAUUGGCAGUUUUUAUGGAUCAGAGGCAAAAGCCUUAAUUCAGACCUUAACAAAGGGAAACGUGUCUGUCCCCAUCUCAGAACAAUAGCAGGGGCUGACAGCAGUGCAAAAACCCUUUCAUAGGUGAUGCCCAAUGAUUUAUCCCAGAACAUGGGCCAGCUGGGAUGCUCCCACAGAGAUGUCCUUGGGAUGCAGGCUAACUUAUUGGUGAGAUUCUGCAACCCAACCCCAACCCAGCCCUUCCCUCUCUCUGAAUCAAACACCUGGAAAAGCAGAAAGCAGCAGAGAUCCCAUGGGACUGAGGCAAGGGGGAAGGAUGGCCCUGUUUUCCCCUUGGCAAAGGAGCAUUAGAGGCACCAAAAGCUGACAGGCUCAGAAAUAAUGGUUUGAGAUCAUUCUUAUUUAAAAACCGGCUGCCUGCUGUUUUCAUCGCAAGCCCUGCUCUGACUUGCAGAAAUAUUUAAAAUUAAAUAUACAUAAGUGCUUUCAAAGAACUGUUAAUUUGAAGGUCAUUAAAUGGCAUAAAAUACAUUCCUUUUUUUUCUGGAAAGAGGCACGUAAUUAUGCCAUUAAUGCACGCUCUUCCUCCACAUUCAAGCCUCAGAGAUGAGAGGGCCUGGGUUCACCUUCCCUAGCAGAGGCACCACAUCUCCUUUUAAUUACUGCCAUUGAGAAGCCUGCUGCUCCUCCAUCACACCCAGGGAUGGGGCUGUGGAAAAAGCAUGGAAAAGCCCCAGGGGAGAACAACACAGCUGAAUUACAAAUGGGGAUUUUUGGGGGAUGAGGGAAGAAACAGCAGGGCUGGAAAUGUGGAGCCACUUGGCAACACCCAGUCCACUUGUGAGGAGGAUCUUGCCCACUGUUUCUCACACGAGACCUUGGGCCAAGGUCAGAGCAGGGGUUUGGUAGCCAGAAAUCCCUUUUUUGAUUUAACACUCUAUGCAAAAAGGACAAAGCCAACCCAGACACACACACACAAAAACCCCCUAAAAAGACACAAAAGGGUUGAGGUUUUUACAGUUGCCAUAGAAAUGGAGAGAAGGAGCUGAUGACUGCACAGCACAAAGUGAAAGGCCAGGACCAGGGGUGAGGGUGAGAUGGGCCCACCCGGGCACGCAGCCACAUCCAUGCAUGGAUAUUCAUGUGGGAUGCAGCCAAAGGAGCAAGGCACUGUGCUGAGCUUCACUCACGAGCAGUGGAAGGGGUCAGGAUCCAACCCAGUGGGGUCCAC